This 527-nucleotide long non-coding RNA is filed under the name Homo sapiens (human). RNAcentral describes it as "non-protein coding lnc-WDTC1-4:1". Lineage: Eukaryota; Metazoa; Chordata; Mammalia; Primates; Hominidae. The record is from RNAcentral.
AAGGCCUUGGGCACACUAUGAGAGUACAAGGUGGUGGGUCGCUGCCUGCCCACCCCCAAAUGCCACACACCGCCCCUCUACCGCAUGGGAAUCUUUGCGCCUAAUCAUGUCGUCGCCGAGUCCCGCUUCUGGUACUUCGUAUCUCAGUUAAAGAAGAUGAAGAAGUUUUCAGGGGAGAUUGUCUACUGUGGGCCGGUGUUUGAGAAGUUCCCCUGGGGGUGAAGAACUUCGGCAUCUGGCUGCACUAUGACUCCCGGAGCGGCAUCCACAACAUGUACUGAGAAUACUGGGACCUGAACACCGCGGGCGCUGUCACCCAGUGCUACCGAGACAUGGGCGCCCGGCACCGCGCCUGGACCCAUUCCAUCCAGAUCACGAAGGUGGAGGCGAUCGCAGCCAGCAAGUGCCCGCGGCCGGCCGUCAAGCAGUUCCACGACUCCAAGAUCAAGUUUCCGCUACCCCACCGGGUCCUGCGCUGUCAGCACAAGCCACACUUCACCACCCGGAGACCCAACACCUUCUUCUAG